Long non-coding RNA from Homo sapiens (human), 1743 nucleotides. Ensembl annotates it as long intergenic non-protein coding RNA 2649. The record is from Ensembl. Lineage: Eukaryota; Metazoa; Chordata; Mammalia; Primates; Hominidae.
UUUUUUUUUUUUUUUUUUUUUUUUUUAAGUAGAGACGGAGUUUCACCGUGUUAGCCAGAAUGGCCUCCAUCUCCUGACCUCGUGACCUGCCCGCCUCGGCCUCCCGAAGUGCUGGGAUAACAGGCGUGAGCCACCGCGCCCGGCCGAGGUGUUCUUUCUAUGUCAGUGGUUCUCAACCUUGACCGCAUGUUAGAGUCGUUAGAGGAGCUUAAAAUGUCCAGACUGUGCCCCAGAGCAGAAUCCCUCGGGAUAGGGUCGAUGGAUUAGGACUUUUUUUAAGCUGAUAAUUUUAUAUCUAUGUAAGAUCUUCUGUUUCCUGAACUUCGUGUGAACAGGUCAGGCGCCUGUUGGACCCCUGGAGCCUGGUUAAUGGGAACGACCACAGUGGGCAUCAAAUGGGUAACUUCAGUACGCCAGCACGGUUGAGAACUAUUGUUCAACGCGAACUUCACAUAUGAAGCCCCUCUCAUGUGUCAGGCACGGCGUCAGAUGCUGGUAGGGACUGAAUGUUUGUGUCCCCCAAAAUUUGUAUGUUGAAGUCACACCCUCAGUGUGAUGGUAUUGGGAGGUGGGGACUCGGGCAGGUCUGAGGUCGUGAGGAUGGAGCCUCAUGACAGGGUGAGAGAGAGCCCUUACAAGAAGAGACACAGGAGAGAUGAUCUCUUUCUGUCUCCUCUCCGCCAUGUGAGGACGGCAAGAAGGUGGCCUUCUGCAAAUGGGGAUGAGUCCUCACCAGGUGUGGGAUCUGCCAGCACCUCGAUCUUGGGCUUCCCAGCCUCAGUACUGUAAGAAGUAAGUGUCUGUUGUUUAAGCCACCCCAUGUAAUAUAAUUUUGUUAUAGCAGCCUACAUUGAUUAAGACAGAUGCUAAGAAUAUGAAGGUGAAGAAAUGUCCCAGUACUUCAUGGGAACACAUCCCAGUGGCUUACAGAAUCAAAGAUGAAAGAGAGAGGGAUACACGUGGUUGCUGGCUCUUCCCUGCUGCUCAGAUGCCUGGAUCACUUGACUGCCUUCUCUAUCAAAGAGUUUCGCUCUUUCACCCAGGCUGGAGUGCAGUGGCACGAUCUUGGCUCACUUCAACCUCUGCCUUCCAGUUUCAAGUGAUUCUACUGCCUCAGCCUCCCAAGUAGCUGGGAUUACAGGCACCCACCACUAUGCUCGGCUAAUUUUUUUGUAUUUUCAAUAGUGACAGAGUUUCACCAUAUUGGCCAGGCUGGUGUCGAACUCCUGACCUCAUGAUCUGCCCACCUCUGCCUCCCAAAGUGCUGGGAUUACAGGCGUGAGCCAUCGCGCCCAGCCCAUAAGUUUUAGUGCCUUUUUUUCAUAGAUGCUGAAACUGAAAAAGGGUGUGGUUAAAUAAUUUGCCCAAGCCAGUCUCUGGCAAAGAUGGGAUUCAUAUCCAGCUACUGAUGACCAAACAUGGUGAGCAGGUAUCCUAUGUCCCGAGGAAGCCCAUUCCACCUGAGCACUGGAUGGAAGGGAUAUCGCAAUCACCCCCAUGCAUGAUGGACAGGUCUAGGAGCAUUGGACACUCAAUGGAAACUCAUGCCCCUGUCAGAAAUUGGCAACUGCCACUUCCACGGCACUUGCAAACUUUGCACACGGUCCAGAUGUGGCCUGGCUUGUUGCUGUCAUGGUAGCAAUAGUAAUUACUUAGGGGAUUUCUGCAGAUCUUGCUCAUAUUGUGCAUAAUAGGGUAUAAAAUAUGGAAAAUUUGCCUCUAAAAUAAAGUGUUGCUGGCAAA